Heterocephalus glaber (naked mole-rat) is the source of this 102-nucleotide small nucleolar RNA. Its record names the gene SNORD116. It matches the Rfam family "Small nucleolar RNA SNORD116". From Rfam's summary of the family: HBII-85 is a member of the C/D class of snoRNAs, which contain the C (UGAUGA) and D (CUGA) box motifs. HBII-85 is encoded in a tandemly repeated array with another C/D snoRNA, HBII-52, in the Prader-Willi syndrome (PWS) region of chromosome 15. Unlike most other snoRNAs, HBII-85 is expressed prevalently in the brain (but is absent in PWS patients) and lacks any significant complementarity with ribosomal RNA. Lineage: Eukaryota; Metazoa; Chordata; Mammalia; Rodentia; Bathyergidae. The record is from Ensembl.
GGAUGGCUGAUGAUGGUAAACAGCUCCUUGAGCAAACAUACUUUUGGAAAGCUGAACAAAGAGUGAAAAAACUAUACUGUCAUUCUCAUUGAACUGAGGUCC